GAUUUCGUGGUGCAGUGGUCAGCACACUCGGCGCAUAUCCGAGAGGUCCGUGGUUCGAAUCCCGGCGACGGCA
RNAcentral lists this transfer RNA (73 nucleotides) under Stegodyphus mimosarum. It matches the Rfam family "tRNA". From Rfam's summary of the family: Transfer RNA (tRNA) molecules are approximately 80 nucleotides in length. Their secondary structure includes four short double-helical elements and three loops (D, anti-codon, and T loops). Further hydrogen bonds mediate the characteristic L-shaped molecular structure. tRNAs have two regions of fundamental functional importance: the anti-codon, which is responsible for specific mRNA codon recognition, and the 3' end, to which the tRNAs corresponding amino acid is attached (by aminoacyl-tRNA synthetases). tRNAs cope with the degeneracy of the genetic code in two manners: having more than one tRNA (with a specific anti-codon) for a particular amino acid; and 'wobble' base-pairing, i.e. permitting non-standard base-pairing at the 3rd anti-codon position. Lineage: Eukaryota; Metazoa; Arthropoda; Arachnida; Araneae; Eresidae. The record is from Rfam by way of RNAcentral.